Molecule: small nuclear RNA, 164 nt
Organism: Ochotona princeps (American pika)
Lineage: Eukaryota; Metazoa; Chordata; Mammalia; Lagomorpha; Ochotonidae
Gene: U1
Rfam family: U1 spliceosomal RNA
About the family: U1 is a small nuclear RNA (snRNA) component of the spliceosome (involved in pre-mRNA splicing).
Source: Ensembl
ACACUUACCUGGCAGUGUAGAUACCAUGAUCACGCAGGUGGUUUUCCCAGGGCGAGGCUCAUCCAUUGCACUUGGGAUGUGCUAACCCCUGUGAUUUCCCCAAAUGUGGGAAACUCGGCUGCAUAAUUUGUGGUAGUGGGGGCCUGCGUUUGCACUCUCUCCUG